CAAAGUAUUCAGCCAGAUACACAAAAAUUAACAUGGACUUUCGUUUACAAUAGUCAAUUUCAUAAAAAAAAUGCUAAUAUUCCUAAUACAAAUAAAGGCUUGAUUGUUGUUGUUGUUGUUGUUGCUGUUGUAUAUGCCUGAUAACAAUACUGUACAAGAGGAUUACAUAACAGAAAUGGUUAAGCACAGUCACACAGAAUACAUAUCAACAUAACAAAAUUUCAAAACUUCUAUUAAAAACUACCAAAAAAUGGGGUUAAUAUCUAUGCAUUGUUUGCAAGAAGAAAAAAUGCAAAGCAAAAAUGUCAAAUGAAGAGAAAAGUGAAGAAAAGUGUUGGAGGCUCAGUGCAGCACAGUGGAGAAAAAGGAAACAGGGAACAACAAUAAUUCCACCGAACUCAACUCCCAACCUUAGUUUUCUGCUUCAAUGUUGAAACAUAUCAUGAAGUUUCUAAUGUCGAAACAUAUCAUGAAGUUUCUAAUGUCGAAAAAUUGUU
Molecule: long non-coding RNA, 497 nt
Filed under: Lupinus angustifolius (narrow-leaved blue lupine)
Lineage: Eukaryota; Viridiplantae; Streptophyta; Magnoliopsida; Fabales; Fabaceae
Description: long non-coding RNA (LANG_LNC002611)
Source: RNAcentral